UCCGGUUUGUCACCGGCAGUCCCAUUAGAGUGCCCAACUCAAUGUGGCAACUAAUGGCAAGGGUUGCGCUCGUUGCGGGACUUAACCCAACAUCUCACGACACGAGCUGACGACAGCCAUGCAGCACCUGUGUUACGGUUCCCUUUCGGGCACCCCCGCCUUUCAGCAGGCUUCCGGACAUGUCAAGGGUAGGUAAGGUUGUUCGCGUUGCAUCGAAUUAAUCCACAUCAUCCACCGCUUGUGCGGGUCCCCGUCAAUUCCUUUGAGUUUUAACCUUGCGGCCGUACUCCCCAGGCGGGGUGCUUAAUGCGUUAGCUUCGGUACGGAGAACGUGGAAUGUCCCCCACACCUAGUGCCCACCGUUUACGGCGUGGACUAC
This 379-nucleotide unclassified non-coding RNA is filed under the name uncultured Gammaproteobacteria bacterium. Its description in RNAcentral is "contains 16S-23S intergenic spacer region". Lineage: Bacteria; Pseudomonadati; Pseudomonadota; Gammaproteobacteria. The record is from RNAcentral.